RNAcentral lists this long non-coding RNA (2329 nucleotides) under Mus musculus (house mouse). Its description in RNAcentral is "long non-coding RNA chr3:22078130-22080459". The record is from RNAcentral. Lineage: Eukaryota; Metazoa; Chordata; Mammalia; Rodentia; Muridae.
UGUGUGAUUCACGUUCAGUUUUGUUAAAUAAGACCCAUGCUUAUUGGAGCACUUCAGUAAUCCUGACUUCCUGGGACUGUAUGUUCUCGCCACUUUAAUAAGUUUAUAGUCUGGGGAAGUAGGGCAUCUUUAUCUGCACAAAAACACUGUGUAUCAGUUGGAUUGAAUCGUGGGAGUUAAUGGCAAACUUCCCAAAUUAUCACUGAGAGUUCUAGAAACAGUUGGCAUUUAGCUAUGGGGGAGGGGCGGUAGGUCGCCAGCCUGCCUGAAAGGGGUUGGGCAGGUCCUGUGUGCCCUUCGUGUCUAAAUGGAGGCUUCUCUGCUGCUUUGACUAUUUCUCUCUUAGUUUUGCUGCCCUGCAUGGGAUGAAGUCUGUAAUCGCAAACACUAAACACUCAAAUUACUUGUCUUACCUUUAGUUUGUAAACUCAGAUCUCUAGAAUUUAGGACGAACACGCCAACCCUGUGAGGAAAGAAAAUAUGUGUAAAAAAAGCUAAGCAACUUCAUUAACUUGUUAACGUCUUCAGAAUUCUUGCAGUUGACCCUGUCUUUGAAGCACACUUCUAAUCUGUACAUGUUGUUAGCAUAGGAGACUGGUGGUAAAUGGAGUGUGUGGGUGGUUUUUUUUUUUUUUUUGGUAGUGUUGGGAAUUGAGCCUAGAGCCUCACUCCUGAUAGAUAAGUGCUCUACCAAUGAGCUACUGCCCAACCUUGAUAUUGUAUUUUGUUGAAGACCAAUAAAACAUUUUAACUUUUUAUAUAAACCCAAGAACCUCUUUUGAUACUUGUAGUCUCCAUCUAAUUAAGGUUUUUGCAAGACUGAUUAUCAUAAUACCUGUCUGCCAGAGAACCAGAAAUAACUGCUUCCUGUGAAACUGGUAAGCUUUCAAGCUAGCGAGCUAGGUCGCUACAGCUUUAUAAACAUGGGGUCUCUGAUGAAAAGGGGCUGACACAUGGACCUUUGACACUUGAACCUGUUGAGUAAAUGUCCUAGUUCACUUACAGCGAUGAAGUGUAACUGCAGAGUGGUCUCCACACAGUUUCUCCAAGGAUGGCUGGCUACUGUGGACAUUCACUGAGCAGGUGUGGAUGGAGCUGAAACUAUUUGUUAAGGUUUGAUACUUACAUUAACACUGAGAGAGAUGGCAGAAACAUUGGCUCUGCUUACAACUGUUUUUCUAGUACAUGUGAAUUUGACUCAUUUUCAGAAAUAUUUACAGUGUAUGUACAUCCCUGAAGUGGGAAGAGGAAACAGUGAGCAGGAGACAUUUACAUUUUGUCCUCAGACCUGGGGUUGUGUAGCAAGAAGGCCUUCACCUUGCUUGCUGAACUGCCAUCAACAGAGCCUUGGGAUGAUGGUCAGGAGGUCUGACGACUUAUGUUGGUGGCAUCCUACUUAGUAAUUGUACAGUUUAUUGCCUUUUUGCCAGACAUCUGGACAAGGACAGGGACUCUGCCUGAGCCACCUCCAGGAAGGUGUGAGGAGGCACUGCCUGUCACACUGCCUGUCACACUGCCUGUCACACUGCCUGUCGCUCAGGCCUUCAGACUGAUCCCUGUGACCAAUCUGUAGUGUUGGCUUUCUCUGUGGUGAGAUGGAAAGGUGCUCCAAGGUGUUUAUUAGGCUUUGAAGAGGCCUCUACCAGGUCGUUUUGACCCUUGUUCCAUGCUCUUUCUGGAUGACAGUUUAUGACACAUUUCCCUGCUGCUUUGCCACGCUUGGAUUUCUGAUUUCCUGACAGACUUCUUGUUUCUGAUUGGGCUGAGCUCUGAGGUACCUCUGGUGAAUAGUCUAGGAGUCCUGAUAUCAUGCUUAAGCCUUCUGUAUGCUGAGGUAUGGGGUCUUGUCCGUUCCUGUUUUCCCUAGAUUAAAUAAAGGUAGCCUCCGUAUACUGGUGGUAGGAAGAGAAUAUUAAGAGUGGAGAGAAGAGUGUGGUCAACAGUCCACACAAUCGAGCAUUUCUCAAAACUGAGUGUUCCUGCAUGUUGUGUUGUCUUGUAGUGGUCUGAGCAAGGGUGCUUUUGGUAACUACUCAGUCUCUGUCCCUCUCGGUGGUGCCCUUGAGGGUAGAACUUAGGCCUUAAGUUUUCCCCUUGUAUCAUAGAGUUGAGACAAUAGAUGUGUAGUGUUCAGAAGUGUUUGGCAUGCUGUGUAUUGCCGGAGUGUCACCCUGUGCAUUGGGUUGGAAGGUGGCGGCUUCUUCUUCUUCUUCUUCUUCUUCUUCUUCUUCUUCUUCUUCUUCUUCUUCUUCUUCUUCUUUUUUUGUUACAUUUCAAUUUUUUUCUUUAAAAGGAGUGAGUUGUGUACAGGGGGUUAAAUGCUUUAUAG